AAGAGUUUGAUCAUGGCUCAGAUUGAACGCUGGCGGCAGGCCUAACACAUGCAAGUCGAACGGUAACAGGAAGCAGCUUGCUGCUUUGCUGACGAGUGGCGGACGGGUGAGUAAUGUCUGGGAAACUGCCUGAUGGAGGGGGAUAACUACUGGAAACGGUGGCUAAUACCGCAUAACGUCGCAAGACCAAAGAGGGGGACCUUCGGGCCUCUUGCCAUCAGAUGUGCCCAGAUGGGAUUAGCUUGUUGGUGAGGUAACGGCUCACCAAGGCGACGAUCCCUAGCUGGUCUGAGAGGAUGACCAGCCACACUGGAACUGAGACACGGUCCAGACUCCUACGGGAGGCAGCAGUG
Molecule: ribosomal RNA, 353 nt
Filed under: Salmonella enterica subsp. enterica serovar Enteritidis str. 3402
Lineage: Bacteria; Pseudomonadati; Pseudomonadota; Gammaproteobacteria; Enterobacterales; Enterobacteriaceae
Also listed under: 1 other name
Description: bacterial SSU rRNA
Rfam family: Bacterial small subunit ribosomal RNA
Source: RNAcentral